UCGCCUAACUAUCACGGACUUAACUAGUUUUGCCUAAGUCGUGUGGCACCCUUGCGUGUCCGUCCGCAAAGGUCAACCUCCCCAAAGCCUCCCAUGUCCCUUAGGACCCACAAAAGAGAGAACGGAUUAGAGAAAACGUCUCAUUCGGGAUCCACAUGCAAACAUCUCCGAAAACACUUCAUAGACAAUGCAAAUUACAAACAGAUUUAUAAGCUCUGAAUAGUUGCAUAAUAAAAGGGUAAAAUGGU
This 248-nucleotide long non-coding RNA is filed under the name Musa acuminata (dwarf banana). RNAcentral describes it as "long non-coding RNA (MACU_LNC008694)". The record is from RNAcentral. Lineage: Eukaryota; Viridiplantae; Streptophyta; Magnoliopsida; Zingiberales; Musaceae.